Molecule: unclassified non-coding RNA, 241 nt
Filed under: Tetracladium marchalianum
Lineage: Eukaryota; Fungi; Ascomycota; Leotiomycetes; Helotiales
Description: sequence contains 5.8S rRNA gene
Rfam family: 5.8S ribosomal RNA (bases 1-53)
Source: RNAcentral
GAACGCACAUUGCGCCCCUUGGUAUUCCGAGGGGCAUGCCUAUUCGAGCGUCAUUAUCACCCCUCAAGCUUCGGCUUGGUGUUGAGGCCUGCUGUAAAGGCACCCUCUAAAAUUAGUGGCAGUGCUGUCAGGCUCUAAGCGUAGUAAUUUCAUCGCUAUAGGGUCCUGGUGGAUACUCGUCAAAACCCCCCCAUUUUUUAAUGAUUGACCUCGGAUUAGGUAGGGAUACCCGCUGAACUUA